RNAcentral lists this long non-coding RNA (613 nucleotides) under Homo sapiens (human). Its description in RNAcentral is "HSALNT0398490". The record is from RNAcentral. Lineage: Eukaryota; Metazoa; Chordata; Mammalia; Primates; Hominidae.
ACACUCAUGAAGGCAAAACAGAAAGCAGAGAAGACUGCCAGGAAACGCUGGGGUGAGGGGCUGCUCCCUUAGAUCAGGUGGUCUGGGGAGGCCUCUCUUCACCAGAGAUGCGUGAGUCACAGCAUGAAGGAGAUGAAUUAGCAACGCUUUCCCAGGAGUAAAGAACAUGGACUUCAUUACCUGGCGUUUAGGACAUUUCCCUUGGUGUCUCAGAGGGACCGCAGGUCAGAUGAGCGUGCAGCUGUGGCUCCAUCCCGUGCCUUUGCCUGUUCUGAACUUUCCAUCAACGGAAUUGCAGAUUGGCCGGGCACGGUGGCUCACGCCUGUAAUCCCAGCACUUUGGGAGGCCGAGGCAAGCAGAUCACGAGGUCAGGAGAUCGAGACCAUCCUGGCUAACACAGUGAAACUCCGUCUCUACUAAAAAUGCAAAAAAUUAGCCGGGCGUGGUGGCGGGCGCCUGUAGUCCCAGCUACUGGGGAGGCUGAGGCGGAAGAAUCGCUUGAACCCGGGAGGCGGAUCACUUGCAGUGAGCGGAGAUCGCACCACUACACUCCAGCCUGGGGGACAGCGCGAGACUCUGUCAAAAAAUAAAAAUAAAAAAGGAAUUGCAGAU